UGAUAGGUUUCUGCAACUUGGCUCAGGAAAUACAAAUACAAGUUAAUAUUCCAAACAUUUAGUAGAAUAGAUUGAUUGAAAUCUAAUCAUACUAUUACUAAAACUAUAUGCAGAAUCAAAACUACCAAAAGGUCCAAAUUCGGAGCAUUAAAAGUUCCAUCGGUCUAAUUGGACUUUGGCUUCCGCCAUGUCUUUCUGUGCCUUCUUCCUCCGGUAAAAUAUUGGGCAAUCUCGGCUACAACACAACCAUUAACAACCAUCAAUCUUAGUAUCUUACCAUCCACAAAUAUAUAUACACACACACACACACACUCAUGAACCAGUAGUGAUCUGAAAAUGUAAGGAGCACCUUGUGCAUAAGACAUCUUGAUGAAGAGAUCCUUGACACUCUUGGCAUUGUGUCCACAGCCUCCCAAAAAGCUUCUCUAGCUCCGAUACUUGCGGAAACAAAGAAAACGUAUGUUAUAUGAGAAGAUGGUUACAUUGUUAUUUGUUUCUGUUUUUGUUUACAUACCGUUGUCAACCGUUUUGCAAUAAAGUUCGGCUUCCCUUCCCUUGCAGUGUGAGCAAAGUGUUUGAUCUUUAUUACUGCAAGCAAACACAACCAUUCGAUCCAUUUGCCCAUAAGAAAUAAAAAAACUAGAAGUCAUUUGGGUUGUUGGUAGGUACCUGAUUAAGGCUUUGCAGCCAACGCAACUUAGCUGCUUCUUCGCAAACUUCAUUAUCCCACUGUUUGACGGAGUAGAUAUGGAGAUAGCUCUAGUGUGGCUCCCGUGAAGAAGUUCUCUACUGGCGUUCUUCAAAAUGGGGUCAAAUAUCCUCAACAGUGGCUGCAUCGCAAACCAUCAACAGUCUCAGGUACAGCUUUGAUAAUGACAUAUGGUACUCGGUCUCCAACAUUUGGAGCAGUUGCUGCAUCUCGCUGUAGUAAAUAUAAUACAACAAUGUGAUGAUAUAGCUUGGUUAACAAGUUAUAAUGCUAAAAGAUAACUAACUAUUAACCUUUCUCAUUCGCUCUGCAAGUUCAACAUGUGCUGCCUUUACAUCAUAAUCCUCUCCGGAUUUCGUCAGUCCCUUGGUAAUAACCAAAAGAGACAAAUCCAUGCGAUUCAUAAGCAGAUCUGAAAUGGUAUUUUUGACGUAUUGAACGGCUCCAGGUAUGUCUCUGUCUAUUAGUAUUUUGUUAAGGCACUCCGUUACCAGGUUUUUUACUAACAGACAGUUGUCCCUUCUAACUGU
RNAcentral lists this long non-coding RNA (1239 nucleotides) under Helianthus annuus (common sunflower). RNAcentral's name for it is "hypothetical non coding rna". The record is from RNAcentral. Lineage: Eukaryota; Viridiplantae; Streptophyta; Magnoliopsida; Asterales; Asteraceae.